GGCGUCUGCUUUUAACCUGUGGGAGAACCCGGCGAGCUAAGCCAAACGGAGGGCGGGAGAGAGGAAGCGGCAGCUGGCGCCUCUCGGCAACUCUAACCCUCUGAUAGAGAUCGCCAAGGAAACAUUUGGAAACCCCUUGGAGGAGAUCUGCCACAUGGCCUCCAGUGAACUGUAGACUCCUGCAUAGCCUUCCAAAGUUCUUCAUUUGGUGAAUAUUAUGAGAAAUGACACGUAUGACUUUCUCCCAAAUACGUGGCUUAAACCCAAAGUACAGUGAAAUCAGAACUGACCACACAGAGUAAUUGGGGCAAGGGAGUUAUUUGUGACACAAAGCCCUCAUCACUUUAUAAAAGUACUUGCUAC
Molecule: long non-coding RNA, 363 nt
Filed under: Homo sapiens (human)
Lineage: Eukaryota; Metazoa; Chordata; Mammalia; Primates; Hominidae
Description: HSALNT0298064
Source: RNAcentral